UAAUCUGUCCUUAAUUAUUAUGAUAAAAGUUAAAGGAGAUUUGGACAACAGAAAAAAAUAAAAAAUAAAAAAUAUAUUUUUAACAAUAUUGUUCAUACAUGAACGACAAAGCCCAUUUCGGAUUGUGAAGAAUUCACAAUUAUUCAAAAUAUUUGAUAUUUUAUUGAAAUGUAGAACUACCAAAUAAUUAUUAAAUUCAGACUAAUCAAUAGAUUUAUUGGUAGUUACUACAAUUUUUAUGAGAAGAGUCGAAGCUAGGGUUGUGCCAGGCGAGCAGCUGCAGCCAGGGCAUCAUGGCAGCACCUCGGGUCAAAAUUGAACUCAUGAUCGCAGCAUCUGGGCAGACCAUAUGCAUGGCUUCCUUUCAACAAAGCCAUGGCAACCAUUACUAGUAAAG
Molecule: long non-coding RNA, 397 nt
Filed under: Olea europaea (common olive)
Lineage: Eukaryota; Viridiplantae; Streptophyta; Magnoliopsida; Lamiales; Oleaceae
Description: long non-coding RNA (OEUR_LNC000653)
Source: RNAcentral